The sequence is a ribosomal RNA, 600 nucleotides long. It matches the Rfam family "Bacterial small subunit ribosomal RNA", at positions 40 to 633 of the family's 1533-position model.
CCUCACGCAACCCGUACACAUGCAGUCGAGCGGUAACAGGGGUAGCUUGCUACCCGCUGACGAGCGGCGGACGUGGUGAGUAAUGCAUAGGAAUCUACCCGGUAGUGGGGGAUAACCUGGGGAAACCCAGGCUAAUACCGCAUACGUCCUACGGGAGAAAGGGGGCUUCGGCUCCCGCUAUCGGAUGAGCCUAUGCCGGAUUAGCUGGUUGGUGAGGUAAUGGCUCACCAAGGCGACGAUCCGUAGCUGGUCUGAGAGGAUGAUCAGCCACAUCGGGACUGAGACACGGCCCGAACUCCUACGGGAGGCAGCAGUGGGGAAUAUUGGACAAUGGGCGCAAGCCUGAUCCAGCCAUGCCGCGUGUGUGAAGAAGGCCCUCGGGUUGUAAAGCACUUUCAGCGAGGAAGAACGCCUGGCGGUUAAUACCCGCCAGGAAAGACAUCACUCGCAGAAGAAGCACCGGCUAACUCCGUGCCAGCAGCCGCGGUAAUACGGAGGGUGCAAGCGUUAAUCGGAAUUACUGGGCGUAAAGCGCGCGUAGGUGGCUUGAUAAGCCGGUUGUGAAAGCCCCGGGCUCAACCUGGGAACGGCAUCCGGAAC